This 253-nucleotide ribosomal RNA is filed under the name uncultured bacterium. RNAcentral's name for it is "partial 16S ribosomal RNA". It matches the Rfam family "Bacterial small subunit ribosomal RNA", at positions 524 to 776 of the family's 1533-position model. The record is from RNAcentral.
UACGGAGGGUGCAAGCGUUAUCCGGAUUCACUGGGUUUAAAGGGUGCGUAGGUGGGUUGGUAAGUCAGUGGUGAAAUCUUCGAGCUUAACUCGGAAACUGCCAUUGAUACUAUCAAUCUUGAAUACUUUGGAGGUAAGCGGAAUAUGUCAUGUAGCGGUGAAAUGCUUAGAUAUGACAUAGAACACCAAUUGCGAAGGCAGCUUGCUACACAGUUAUUGACACUGAGGCACGAAAGCCAGGGGAGCAAACGGG